Long non-coding RNA from Diorhabda carinulata, 2571 nucleotides. RefSeq lists it as uncharacterized. The transcript is spliced from 4 exons. NCBI's taxonomy places the organism in Eukaryota, Metazoa, Arthropoda, Insecta, Coleoptera, Chrysomelidae. The record is from RefSeq and is a predicted model, not a curated record.
UUUUAUUUUAAAAUAUCGUUUUAGUGAGAAUGAUUUUGUAUAAUUUUGUAGGGAUUUUGAUUUGAGAAUCGCAAAUUUAGUGAAAAAGUAAUUUUCCGUAAGAAAUUUUCAUGUUAUAUUUUUUUUAACUUGAAAACCGCGAAUUCGACAAAUUUGAUUAGGUGUUGGUGCGCGAUUCUACGCGAAAUUUUAACCCGUUAACGAAACGAAAUGUAAAUGUAGUGCACGUUCCAUAGUGCGGUUUGCCAAAAAGUAUUUGUGCGCGAUUCGACGCGAAAUUUUAACCCGUUAACGAAACGAAAAAUAUAUGGUGUGUGAAUCGAUAAAGCGGUAUGCCAAAAGAUGUGAUUUUCAUUCAAAUGACUUUCUAAGUAAUCUGUUGAGAUUUUCUUCAAUUAUGAGGACGAGGCUGUUGGGUUAAGCUAAUUUUUUUUGGAUUAUUAGUUCCCUAGAAACGACAAGUACAGGCUUGAAGUUGCUCUAACGUAGUGGACUAACAAGUCUGUGCUAUGGGGAUGAUUGUGUGAUGUAUGUCUUUGGAAUUUGAUCAUAAAUGAGGUAGGCAAGACUAUAUGUGAGUACAAAUUUUUAUAUACAUUAAAUUAGGUUGGGUGAUUUCGUUUUCUAAUGAUAGUAAACUUAUAACGCAAUGAUAAAAUUUUGUCUGAUGCUUACAAAGAUAUGAAAAUCGAGUUACUUUUGAGUUCUUUUUUUGAUAGAAAAGUUUCACAACCAAAAAAAUCGUAUGGAAAAAAAUUAUAGAUAUCUGGAGAAUAAUAUUCGCAUAAAUUUGACUUUUUAUGUUUGGUAUUUUCAGUUAAGUAAAUUGAAACUUGUUUGCGUGUGUUAAAAAUUCCGUUUUGCAAUCUUCAUAUCGAUGGCUACUUUAUUUGUUAUAAAUUUUCGUUUUUCUUUCCCAAACUGGACCUGAAAUUUAAAAAUAUAAAAUGUUGUAAACUUCGGAUCUGUGAAUUACUUUGAUAAUAAUUGAAUGAUAAAAUUAUUAUACACUAUUUUGUUCUUAUACAGAACUUAAUAAAAUUGAAUUUUUCGAAAUGAAAAUUACAUUUUUUUAAUAAUAAUUCGAAAAAAAAACAUAUUUUCUGGACAUUUUAUUUUAUAAUCGACUAUGAACAAUUUAUUCAAACGUUAAUUGUUUCUAAUUUUUAUUAACCCUUAAAAAAAGAAAACUGAAUCUGUUUCUUUUUUAAUUUUAAAUGUUUUCUGCUCAAGUUAGUUGAAAUUAUAUAUGUAAUAAUAUAUUUUGCAAAAUAAAAGAUUUUCUCAAGAGUUAUCGAAUAUCGAUAGCUACUUCAUUUGUUAUAAAUUAUCAUCAUUCCUACCCAUUUUCGACUUGAAAUUUGAAAAGAUAAAAUGUAAUAACUAUCUAAGGUAAACUUCGAAUCUUACUUAGACAAUUGAAUAAUAAAAUCAUCAUAUAUAGUUUUUUCUAAUGCAGAACUUUACAUAAUUAAAUUUUUCGAAACUGAAAUUCCAUUUUACCAAUAAUCAUUUGAGAAAAAAACAUCUUAUGGACUAUUUUAUUAUAGAAUUGACUUGGACAAUUUUUUCAAACGUAAAUUAUUUCUAAUAUAUAUCAAUCAUUAAAGAAAAACAACCGAAUCUGUUUAUUUUUAAUUUUACUUUAAUAAUUGAUUGAUAAAAUUAUUAUACACUGUUUUGUUCUUAUGCAGAAAUUUAUAAAAUUGCAUUUUUCGAAACUAAAAUUACAUAUUUUUAAUAAUCAUUUGAAAAAAAAAUUAUUUUCUGGACUAUUUUAUUAAUUGAGCCACUUUUUAUGGUUAUAAUUGUACCGUAGCCAGCGGCGUGGGUAACCGCAUUCAUUUCGCCUUCACCCAAAAAUCAAACACUUUCCACUGAAAAAGUGUAGGUUUAGCCCUAGCAACACCGUUUAUGUCAAUACUGACAUAAUCCCCAUUCCAAGCCGCCUAAAUGACCUCCAAGCCCGCUAAGUGAUUCGAACCAUCGAAUCAAGUAAUUUCGUUGCGAAAGAGACCCUCCUCAUCCUACCUUAAUUUCCUCAAUAGUUCCCCCAUAUCAAUCAGAUAAAUUCCGACCCCCAACACCCACCCUCACUGUCAUUCGAUCGUCGGAGUUGCAGGUUUUCUGCGGUUUCCCUGUAACCUGGAGAACCGAUUCUCCAGACAAAUGACCGACGAUAGGGAAUAAUACAGCCGCAGCUGUACCCGCCCACCCCAAAUCAGAUUAAGAAAAAACACAAAAUAAACAAAAAAAAAUAUAAAAAAAAACCCAAAGGAAAAAAAAGAAAAAAAAAUUAAUUAAAAAAAUUCUUGGAUAAAAAAUAACAACCCCGCUAGAAGCAGCCGAGCAAGCACUCCCCAGCAAAACAGUCACAAACCCAGCCCUGCAGAGGAAAAAAAAUUCCUAUAUCAGGGCCUAAGCAAACAAAUCCAAAUUACCCAAAAAAAAACCUUCCUUCCAAAUUCUACCCAACGAAUCUCUCUCUCUCUCUCCAUUGUAGGUCAUUACAUUUUAGAUUUUAACGGCGCUUAUGCUUACCUUGUAACUUAUUAUUCAAAAUCCUUUUGA